UAAUACGUAGGCGGCGAGCGUUAUCCGGAUUUACUGGGCGUAAAGAGGGCGUAGGCGGUUUUUCAAGUCGAUUGUAAAAUCUCCCGGCUUAACUGGGAGGAGUCAUUCGAUACUGUUAGACUAGAGAGCAGCAGGGGGAGGUAGAAUUCCCGGUGUAGUGGUGAAAUGUGUAGAUAUCGGGAGGAAUACCAGUGGCGAAGGCGGCCUCCUAGGCUGUUUCUGACGCUGAGGCCCGAAAGCGUGGGGAGCAAACAGGAUCAGAUACCCUGGUAGUCCACGCUGUAAUCGAUGGACACUAGGUAUAGGGAGUAUCGACCCUCUCUGUGCCGAAGCUAACGCUUUAAGUGUCCCGCCUGGGGACUACGGCCGCAAGGCUA
Molecule: ribosomal RNA, 377 nt
Filed under: uncultured Chloroflexota bacterium
Lineage: Bacteria; Bacillati; Chloroflexota
Description: bacterial SSU rRNA
Rfam family: Bacterial small subunit ribosomal RNA
Source: RNAcentral